AAUGCGUAGAGAUCAGGAAGAACACCGGUGGCGAAAGCGCUCUGCUGGGCUAAAACUGACACUGAGGGACGAAAGCUAGGGGAGCGAAUGGGAUUAGAUACCCCAGUAGUCCUAGCGGUAAACGAUGGAAACUAGGUGUGGCCUGUAUCGACCCGGGCCGUGCCGGAGCAAACGCGUUAAGUUUCCCGCCUGGGGAGUACGCACGCAAGUGUGAAACUCAAAGGAAUUGACGGGGGCCCGCACAAGCGGUGGAGUAUGUGGUUUAAUUCGAUGCAACGCGAAGAACCUUACCAGGACUUGACAUCUCGGGAAUCUGCUUGAAAGGGGAGAGUGCC
RNAcentral lists this ribosomal RNA (335 nucleotides) under Planktothrix pseudagardhii No980. Its description in RNAcentral is "bacterial SSU rRNA". It matches the Rfam family "Bacterial small subunit ribosomal RNA", at positions 685 to 1018 of the family's 1533-position model. The record is from RNAcentral. Lineage: Bacteria; Bacillati; Cyanobacteriota; Cyanophyceae; Oscillatoriales; Microcoleaceae.